RNAcentral lists this ribosomal RNA (253 nucleotides) under uncultured bacterium. RNAcentral describes it as "partial 16S ribosomal RNA". It matches the Rfam family "Bacterial small subunit ribosomal RNA", at positions 524 to 776 of the family's 1533-position model. The record is from RNAcentral.
UACGGGGGGGGCAAGCGUUGUCCGGAAUCAUUGGGCGUAAAGCGCGCGUAGGCGGCCCGGUAAGUCCGCUGUGAAAGUCAAAGGCUCAACCUUUGAAUGUCAGCGGAUACUGCCGGGCUAGAGUCCGGAAGAGGCGAGUGGAACUCCUGGUGUAGCGGUGGAAUGCGCAGAUAUCAGGAAGAACACCAACGGCGAAGGCAGCUCGCUGGGACGGAACUGACGCUGAGGCGCGAAAGCGUGGGGAGCGAACAGG